RNAcentral lists this ribosomal RNA (253 nucleotides) under uncultured bacterium. RNAcentral describes it as "partial 16S ribosomal RNA". It matches the Rfam family "Bacterial small subunit ribosomal RNA", at positions 524 to 776 of the family's 1533-position model. The record is from RNAcentral.
GACAGAGGUGCCAAGCGUUAGGCGGAAUCACUGGGCGUAAAGCGCACGUAGGCGGCUUUCUAAGUCAGGGGUGAAAUCCUGGAGCUCAACUCCAGAACUGCCUUUGAUACUGGAGAGCUUGAGUCCGGGAGAGGUGAGUGGAACUCCGAGUGUAGAGGUGAAAUUCGUAGAUAUUCGGAAGAACACCAGUGGCGAAGGCGGCUCACUGGCCCGGUACUGACGCUGAUGUGCGAAAGCGUGGGGAGCAAACAGG